CGAUACAGGGUGACAGCCCCGUACACAAAAAUGCACAUGCUGUGAGCUCGAUGAGUAGGGCGGGACACGUGGUAUCCUGUCUGAAUAUGGGGGGACCAUCCUCCAAGGCUAAAUACUCCUGACUGACCGAUAGUGAACCAGUACCGUGAGGGAAAGGCGAAAAGAACCCCGGCGAGGGGAGUGAAAAAGAACCUGAAACCGUGUACGUACAAGCAGUGGGAGCACGCUUAGGCGUGUGACUGCGUACCUUUUGUAUAAUGGGUCAGCGACUUAUAUUCUGUAGCAAGGUUAACCGAAUAGGGGAGCCGAAGGGAAACCGAGUCUUAACUGGGCGUUAAGUUGCAGGGUAUAGACCCGAAACCCGGUGAUCUAGCCAUGGGCAGGUUGAAGGUUGGGUAACACUAACUGGAGGACCGAACCGACUAAUGUUGAAAAAUUAGCGGAUGACUUGUGGCUGGGGGUGAAAGGCCAAUCAAACCGGGAGAUAGCUGGUUCUCCCCGAAAGCUAUUUAGGUAGCGCCUCGUGAAUUCAUCUCCGGGGGUAGAGCACUGUUUCGGCAAGGGGGUCAUCCCGACUUACCAACCCGAUGCAAACUGCGAAUACCGGAGAAUGUUAUCACGGGAGACACACGGCGGGUGCUAACGUCCGUCGUGAAGAGGGAAACAACCCAGACCGCCAGCUAAGGUCCCAAAGUCAUGGUUAAGUGGGAAACGAUGUGGGAAGGCCCAGACAGCCAGGAUGUUGGCUUAGAAGCAGCCAUCAUUUAAAGAAAGCGUAAUAGCUCACUGGUCGAGUCGGCCUGCGCGGAAGAUGUAACGGGGCUAAACCAUGCACCGAAGCUGCGGCAGCGACGCUUAUGCGUUGUUGGGUA
RNAcentral lists this ribosomal RNA (872 nucleotides) under Escherichia coli. RNAcentral's name for it is "partial 23S ribosomal RNA". It matches the Rfam family "Bacterial large subunit ribosomal RNA", at positions 354 to 1230 of the family's 2925-position model. Lineage: Bacteria; Pseudomonadati; Pseudomonadota; Gammaproteobacteria; Enterobacterales; Enterobacteriaceae. The record is from RNAcentral.